Long non-coding RNA from Alosa sapidissima (American shad), 105 nucleotides. RefSeq lists it as uncharacterized. Lineage: Eukaryota; Metazoa; Chordata; Actinopteri; Clupeiformes; Clupeidae. The transcript has 3 exons. The record is from RefSeq and is a predicted model, not a curated record.
GGAGAUUUUAUUUAAAGCAGUUGUUUGUGUUCCAACAAUGGCCAUCAGAUGGCCCUCUAAAUGAGCUAAAUUCUAAAAAGGAGAGACCCUCACAAAUGUCCACAU